Molecule: ribosomal RNA, 253 nt
Filed under: uncultured bacterium
Lineage: Bacteria
Description: partial 16S ribosomal RNA
Rfam family: Bacterial small subunit ribosomal RNA
Source: RNAcentral
UACGUAGGGCGCAAGCGUUGUCCGGAACUAUUGGGCGUAAAGAGCUCGUAGGCGGCCUGUUAAGUCCGCUGUGAAAUCCCGGGGCUCAACCCCGGGCCUGCAGUGGAUACGGGCUGGCUAGAGGCAGGCAGGGGAGAACGGAAUUCCUGGUGUAGCGGUGAAAUGCGCAGAUAUCGGGAGGAACACCGGUGGCGAAGGCGGUUCUCUGGGCCUGUACUGACGCUGAGGAGCGAAAGCGUGGGGAGCGAACAGG